GCUUGCUUUCUUUGCUGACGAGCGGCGGACGGGUGAGUAAUGCCUAGGGAACUGCCCAGUCGAGGGGGAUAACAGUUGGAAACGACUGCUAAUACCGCAUACGCCCUACGGGGGAAAGGAGGGGCUCUUCGGACCUUUCGCGAUUGGAUGUACCUAGGUGGGAUUAGCUUGUUGGUGAGGUAAGAGCUCACCAAGGCGACGAUCCCUAGCUGUUCUGAGAGGAUGAUCAGCCACACUGGGACUGAGACACGGCCCAGACUCCUACGGGAGGCAGCAGUGGGGAAUAUUGCACAAUGGGCGAAAGCCUGAUGCAGCCAUGCCGCGUGUGUGAAGAAGGCCUUCGGGUUGUAAAGCACUUUCAGCGAGGGAGGAAAGGUUAACGGUUAAUACCCGUUAGCUGUGACGUUACUCG
Molecule: ribosomal RNA, 412 nt
Filed under: Shewanella sp. ini17
Lineage: Bacteria; Pseudomonadati; Pseudomonadota; Gammaproteobacteria; Alteromonadales; Shewanellaceae
Description: bacterial SSU rRNA
Rfam family: Bacterial small subunit ribosomal RNA
Source: RNAcentral